This 459-nucleotide ribosomal RNA is filed under the name uncultured bacterium. RNAcentral's name for it is "partial 16S ribosomal RNA". It matches the Rfam family "Bacterial small subunit ribosomal RNA", at positions 338 to 795 of the family's 1533-position model. The record is from RNAcentral.
CCUACGGGAGGCAGCAGUGAGGAAUAUUGGUCAAUGGCCGGAAGGCUGAACCAGUCAAGCCGCGUGAAGGACGAAGGUGCCACGCAUUGUAAACUUCUUUUGUCAAGGGACAAAAUCAGGCUCGAGAGCCUGACCGAGGGUACUUGAAGAAAAAGCAUCGGCUAACUCCGUGCCAGCAGCCGCGGUAAUACGGAGGAUGCGAGCGUUAUCCGGAUUUAUUGGGGUUAAAGGGUGCGUAGGCGGACUGUUAAGUCAGCGGUAAAAGCCCGGGGCUCAACCCCGGCGAGCCGUUGAAACUGGCGGUCUUGAGAGGGCGAGAGGUAUGCGGAAUGCGCAGUGUAGCGGUGAAAUGCUUAGAUAUUGCGCAGAACUCCGACUGCGAAGGCAGCAUACCGGCGGCGAUCUGACGCUGAGGCACGAAAGCGUGGGUAUCGAACAGGAUUAGAUACCCCAGUAGUC